UGAGACAGUUCGGUCCCUAUCUACCGUGGGCGCUGGAAAUUUGAGAGGAUCUGCUCCUAGUACGAGAGGACCAGAGUGGACGAACCUCUGGUGUACCGGUUGUGACGCCAGUCGCAUCGCCGGGUAGCUAUGUUCGGAAGGGAUAACCGCUGAAAGCAUCUAAGCGGGAAGCCUACCUCAAGAUAAGAUUUCCCUAGGACUUUAUGUCCUCUAAAGAGCCGUUCGAGACUAGGACGUUGAUAGGUUGGAUGUGGAAGCAUAGUGAUAUGUGAAGCUGACCAAUACUAAUUGCUCGUGAGGCUUGACUAUACAACACCCAAGCAGUUG
Molecule: ribosomal RNA, 327 nt
Filed under: Escherichia coli
Lineage: Bacteria; Pseudomonadati; Pseudomonadota; Gammaproteobacteria; Enterobacterales; Enterobacteriaceae
Also listed under: 1 other name
Description: partial 23S ribosomal RNA
Rfam family: Bacterial large subunit ribosomal RNA
Source: RNAcentral